Molecule: ribosomal RNA, 259 nt
Filed under: uncultured bacterium
Lineage: Bacteria
Description: partial small subunit ribosomal RNA
Rfam family: Bacterial small subunit ribosomal RNA
Source: RNAcentral
AGGACGAACGCUGGCGGCGUGCUUAACACAUGCAAGUCGAACGAUUCCGGGUCUUCGGGCCCGGUUUAGUGGCGAACGGGUGAGUAACACGUGGGCAACCUGCCCUCCACUCUGGGAUAACUCCGGGAAACCGGGGCUAAUACUGGAUACGACCUUCGGCCGCAUGGCUGGGGGUGGAAAGUUUUUCGGUGGAGGAUGGGCCCGCGGCCUAUCAGCUUGUUGGUGGGGUGAUGGCCUACCAAGGCGGUGACGGGUAGCC